GACGAACGCUGGCGGCGUGCCUAAUACAUGCAAGUUGAGCGAUGAAGAUUGGUGCUUGCACCAAUUUGAAGAGCAGCGAACGGGUGAGUAACGCGUGGGGAAUCUGCCUUUGAGCGGGGGACAACAUUUGGAAACGAAUGCUAAUACCGCAUAACAACUUUAAACAUAAGUUUUAAGUUUGAAAGAUGCAAUUGCAUCACUCAAAGAUGAUCCCGCGUUGUAUUAGCUAGUUGGUGAGGUAAAGGCUCACCAAGGCGAUGAUACAUAGCCGACCUGAGAGGGUGAUCGGCCACAUUGGGACUGAGACACGGCCCAAACUCCUACGGGAGGCAGCAGUAGGGAAUCUUCGGCAAGGGACGAAAGUCUGACCGAGCAACGCCGCGUGAGUGAAGAAGGUUUUCGGAUCGUAAAACUCUGUUGGUAGAGAAGAACGUUGGUGAGAGUGGAAAGCUCAUCAAGUGACGGUAACUACCCAGAAAGGGACGGCUAACUACGUG
RNAcentral lists this ribosomal RNA (497 nucleotides) under uncultured bacterium. Its description in RNAcentral is "partial 16S ribosomal RNA". It matches the Rfam family "Bacterial small subunit ribosomal RNA", at positions 28 to 507 of the family's 1533-position model. The record is from RNAcentral.